AAACAGUGGCGUACAUACUCCGUCACUCCAGGGGGCCAGCCGCCCUGCAGACCCCUGCGACCAGGUGCCCGCCGCCAUGUGUUGCUGCCCUGGCCGUGCAGUAUAAUUGCCGGGGGCCGCACGUGAAGGGGUCUAACAGCAUGGGCCACCCGAUGGAAAUGAAUAUCAUCAUCUGAGUGGGCCCGGUAACAGCGCGACCGGGCCUCCUCUAAUG
Pelobates cultripes (western spadefoot toad) is the source of this 214-nucleotide non-coding RNA. Lineage: Eukaryota; Metazoa; Chordata; Amphibia; Anura; Pelobatidae. The record is from the annotation of a GenBank genome assembly.